RNAcentral lists this transfer RNA (20 nucleotides) under Iguana iguana (Common green iguana). RNAcentral's name for it is "partial tRNA-Leu". The record is from RNAcentral. Lineage: Eukaryota; Metazoa; Chordata; Lepidosauria; Squamata; Iguanidae.
UUUAAAGGAUAAAAGACAAU